Molecule: long non-coding RNA, 1091 nt
Organism: Acipenser ruthenus (sterlet)
Lineage: Eukaryota; Metazoa; Chordata; Actinopteri; Acipenseriformes; Acipenseridae
Exons: 6
Source: RefSeq, a predicted model, not a curated record
GGAAGUGAAAAACGAUGCUCUUUUUUUUAGCGGUUUUGUUCCGCUGUCAAUGCGCUAAAACAUCUUGUCUGCAGCAUAAAAAGCUCAGCGGUGUUCACAAAACCAGAUUCAUUCACAACAGCUCCCUUAGCAAGUCCUGGGAUUCUGUUCCUGGGAAUGUAUGAAGUUCACCCUUAUGUGGCCAGGCGCUUACUGUGUGGCCGGUGAUGAAUGAGAGGACUUGCUGUGGGUGCUGGCCUAUCUUUCAUUCCGAUCUCGUGGUCAAAGAAGUCCCCUGGGUCGACAUUGUCUAUACCUUUUAGGAUUUUGAAUGUUUGAAUCAGAUCGCCGCGUAGUCUUCUUUGUUCAAGACUGAAUAGAUGCCUUUUAAACCCGGGAUAAUUCUGGUUGCUCUUCUUUGCACUCUUUCUAGAGCAGCAAUAUCCUUUUUGUAACGAGGUGACCAGAACUGAACACAAUAUUCUAGGAGCUGGAACCUCAACUGGUUCUGCUGUGGCCAAUGCUAAUCAACAGGAAAUCCAGCUUCUUCUGUUAUUAAGAGGGAUCAGAAACAGACACACGCCGUUACAAGCGACAGAGAGGUGGCAAUCUGAACCCAGGGAUGAUAAUACGAUUCCCAUUCCACUGCAGUUGCUCCCUUUCUCCAGGUUUUAAUACAUCCCUACAAUUAAAACAUUUUUAAAGAGUAGGGUUGACUCAACGGUGGAAGCAGAACAGGUCGAUUUACUGUAGUUAAGUUGGUCCACCUUCUCUGAAGGCACUGUGAAAGACCUUCUGGAUCUAACUGCUGUGCAGCGGGACUCUCCAUCCUUCUGCUUGUUUUUUUUUUCUCUCAGGAAGGAGGAGUGGCACAAACACGGAGCGUGUGCAGGGUGCGUGGAGGGGAUGAAUUCCCCCACUAAGUACUUUCAGACUGCGCUCAAACUGCGAUCGCUCUACGACAUCGACGGGUCUCGAUAAUUGCCCCUCCUUAGUCAUCUCCGAUUGGUCAAUUUGGAGAUCCUAUUCCUCUGCUUUCUUCUGAUUCGCCCUUCGCGGCUGUCAAUCACGGAAUGUGAAUCAACGCUCAUUGGCAGACACGUGCGGUGUUG